RNAcentral lists this small RNA (1239 nucleotides) under Caenorhabditis elegans. RNAcentral describes it as "Unclassified non-coding RNA Y53H1C.13". Lineage: Eukaryota; Metazoa; Nematoda; Chromadorea; Rhabditida; Rhabditidae. The record is from RNAcentral.
AUUUACACACGCAGCAGCCCGUGAAGGACAUUUGCCCACAUUUCUCUCGUGUAUUAAUGCAGAAUCGAAUAGUCCACGUGCCGCACUACUUUUCCAACUGAUUUGCACAAUCGCCGUCACUUUUGUCGAUACUGAGAGGUGAGAUUUUCAAAAACUAUUGCAAAUUGGAAAAAAAACCGAAGGAAAAGCUUUAAAAAUCGCGAUUUUAGGCCAUUUUCAAGCUCGUGGCCUAACUUUUCACUUGGUGGCCUAGAAAAUUAUGUUAGGCCAUGUGUCGGGAGAUUAUGAAGAGAGAUAUCAAAUACUUUUUGAAUGACUCAAAAAUAUUGAUUUUGAGCCAAGUUAUGGCCGUUUGAAGUUGGUGGCCUAGGAUUUGCCUGGAGAUUUCUAGGCCAUCAACUUCAAACGGCCAUAACUUGGCUCAAAAUUGAUAUUUUUGAAAUCUAAAACAUUCAUUAAAUUUAGCAGGCACCGAGUUUUCAACGUGACCAGAAAUUUGAAAAUUUCCUGAAAUUUUGGGUCCCGCCACGAAAACUCGCGGAGCUACAGUACUCCUGGCGAAAUAGGUGUUGAAUGAAAGCGCUGAGUCUGCUGAAUUCAAAUUUUGUUUUAGAUUUCAAAAAUAUUGAAUUUGGGCCAAGUUAUGGCCGUUUUAAGUUGGUGGCCUAGGAUUUUCGGAGGGGGUUUCUAGGCCACCGACAUAACUUUGCUCAAAAUUGAUAUUUUCGAGAAAUAAAAAAAGGUUUUAACAUAAAAUCUUGUGAUCUACCGGAAAGUGCAUAGAUGGCCGAACUUUUAGAUUUCUAGGCCACCAACUGAAAAAUUUCGGCCACCAAACUGAAACUCAGCGGAAAAUCGACAUUUUUGAGCGAAAUAAAAAGUAUUUAGUGUAAAAUCUUGUGUUCCACCGAAAAUUUGCCAAUUCAUGGCCUAACUUUGACUUCUAGGCCACCAGGUGAAAAGUUCGGCCACCAAUUUGAAACUCGCCGGAAAAUCAACAUUUUUCAGCCAAAUAAAUGCUAUUUUAAGUGAAUUUCUCUCCAAUUUCCAGCCUAAUCACCUACGUAACAUUUGUAAUGUUCGGCCAACGCGUGUUCACAAUGGCGGCACUAUUGUGGAUCAGAUAUCGAAAUAUUCCCGUACAUCCCGACGCAAUCCGGGUUCCACUCAUCUUUUCGAUUCUUUUUUUCAUGAUUACCAUCGCUCUUGUCGUCACCCCGUUUAUCGAGGAUUUUACGG